GUGCUUGCUUUAUCAGCACAUAUUACUAAAACUGAAAUGAUACAGAAAAGCCUACCAUAACCCUCAUGCAAGGGAGACAUACUAAUUCUUAAACUGUUUUAUAUUUUU
Small nuclear RNA from Phacochoerus africanus (Common warthog), 108 nucleotides. The record is from RefSeq and is a predicted model, not a curated record. Lineage: Eukaryota; Metazoa; Chordata; Mammalia; Artiodactyla; Suidae.